CACACGACUCUCGGCAACGGAUAUCUCGGCUCUCGCAUCGAUGAAGAACGUAGCGAAAUGCGAUACCUGGUGUGAAUUGCAGAAUCCCGGGAACCAUCGAGUCUUUGAACGCAAGUUGCGCCCGAGGCCAUUCGGCCGAGGGCACGCCUGCCUGGGCGUCACGC
RNAcentral lists this ribosomal RNA (164 nucleotides) under Oryza latifolia. RNAcentral describes it as "5.8S ribosomal RNA". It matches the Rfam family "5.8S ribosomal RNA". Rfam says of the family: 5.8S ribosomal RNA (5.8S rRNA) is a component of the large subunit of the eukaryotic ribosome. It is transcribed by RNA polymerase I as part of the 45S precursor that also contains 18S and 28S rRNA. The record is from RNAcentral. Lineage: Eukaryota; Viridiplantae; Streptophyta; Magnoliopsida; Poales; Poaceae.